AACAUAAUGCCUUCAAUGCAUGCCUGUAUUGCGGGAUGGCCUACAUUGAGUCUCGCAGGCGCCGAGCUCCCGUAUUUUGCCCUCCCUUGCCCCCAUUUUUCUGGUGGGCCACGUGCGCGUUGGCUUACUGCGACUCUAGUUUUGGAGCGGUCUCCCCUCUCCAAUGCAGCCCGAGCCAGUCCAGCGGGGGCUCAGCAGAGCCAGAGCUCAUCCAGGGGUCCAGGGGCCACGGGCAAGGAUACGGCACCGACACGCCCAACCCAACGGCCGCUGUAGUCGGGCGUAACGGGACGGUGGACUCUGGAUGGACCCGCGUCCUCCACCGUGCACACGUCCUGCACACGACGGAGGCCUCCAAGGGCGCCUGCACCGAACCCUGGACGGGGCGCACUCCGUGCAGGGCACUGGCUACUGUACCUGGCUGCUGUUGCGCGACUUGUGUCUUCCCCCUCACUGUGGCCGGUUUGGCUGGUUUGGCGGUGCUGUUAUAGCUGUUAUGCUGGCGGGAACCACCAUCUCAUUUCCCAAUAUCUGAAUGCUGGCUUCUCUAUCUUAAAUUAUUAGCUUAACCAUUUGCAGUAGGCCUUUGGGCGACACUGGUAGAUUAAAUUGUGCACUAUGGAAGCAGAAGCACCACAGCUUGAUUCAUA
Molecule: long non-coding RNA, 650 nt
Organism: Frankliniella occidentalis (western flower thrips)
Lineage: Eukaryota; Metazoa; Arthropoda; Insecta; Thysanoptera; Thripidae
Exons: 2
Source: RefSeq, a predicted model, not a curated record